This 405-nucleotide ribosomal RNA is filed under the name uncultured prokaryote. RNAcentral's name for it is "bacterial SSU rRNA". It matches the Rfam family "Bacterial small subunit ribosomal RNA", at positions 355 to 774 of the family's 1533-position model. The record is from RNAcentral.
UGGGGGAUAUUGCACAAUGGGCGAAAGCCUGAUGCAGCAACGCCGCGUGAGGGAAGACGGUUUUCGGAUUGUAAACCUCUGUCUUCGGUGAAGAAACAAAUGACGGUAGCCGAGGAGGAAGCCACGGCUAACUACGUGCCAGCAGCCGCGGUAAUACGUAGGUGGCAAGCGUUGUCCGGAAUUACUGGGUGUAAAGGGAGCGCAGGCGGGGAGACAAGUCAGCUGUGAAAACUAUGGGCUUAACCCAUAAACUGCAGUUGAAACUGUUUUUCUUGAGUGGAGUAGAGGUAGGCGGAAUUCCGAGUGUAGCGGUGAAAUGCGUAGAUAUUCGGAGGAACACCAGUGGCGAAGGCGGCCUACUGGACGGUUACUGACGCUGAGACGCGAAAGCGUGGGGAGCAAACA